This 2904-nucleotide ribosomal RNA is filed under the name Enterobacter cloacae. Its description in RNAcentral is "bacterial LSU rRNA". It matches the Rfam family "Bacterial large subunit ribosomal RNA". The record is from RNAcentral. Lineage: Bacteria; Pseudomonadati; Pseudomonadota; Gammaproteobacteria; Enterobacterales; Enterobacteriaceae. RNAcentral also lists the same sequence under 1 other name.
UUAAGCGACUAAGCGUACACGGUGGAUGCCCUGGCAGUCAGAGGCGAUGAAGGACGUGCUAAUCUGCGAAAAGCGCCGGCGAGGUGAUAUGAACCCUUGACCCGGCGAUGUCCGAAUGGGGAAACCCAGUGCAAUCCGUUGCACUAUCGUUAACUGAAUACAUAGGUUAACGAGGCGAACCGGGGGAACUGAAACAUCUAAGUACCCCGAGGAAAAGAAAUCAACCGAGAUUCCCCCAGUAGCGGCGAGCGAACGGGGAGCAGCCCGGAGUCUGAAUCAGCUUGUGUGUUAGUGGAACGGUCUGGAAAGUCCGACGGUACAGGGUGAUAGUCCCGUACACGAAAGCACACAUGCUGUGAACUCGAAGAGUAGGGCGGGACACGUGGUAUCCUGUCUGAAUAUGGGGGGACCAUCCUCCAAGGCUAAAUACUCCUGACUGACCGAUAGUGAACCAGUACCGUGAGGGAAAGGCGAAAAGAACCCCGGCGAGGGGAGUGAAAAAGAACCUGAAACCGUGUACGUACAAGCAGUGGGAGCCUCUUUAUGGGGUGACUGCGUACCUUUUGUAUAAUGGGUCAGCGACUUAUAUUCUGUAGCAAGGUUAACCGUAUAGGGGAGCCGAAGGGAAACCGAGUCUUAACUGGGCGUUAAGUUGCAGGGUAUAGACCCGAAACCCGGUGAUCUAGCCAUGGGCAGGUUGAAGGUUGGGUAACACUAACUGGAGGACCGAACCGACUAAUGUUGAAAAAUUAGCGGAUGACCUGUGGCUGGGGGUGAAAGGCCAAUCAAACCGGGAGAUAGCUGGUUCUCCCCGAAAGCUAUUUAGGUAGCGCCUCGUGAACUCAUCUUCGGGGGUAGAGCACUGUUUCGGCUAGGGGGCCAUCCCGGCUUACCAACCCGAUGCAAACUACGAAUACCGAAGAAUGUUAUCACGGGAGACACACGGCGGGUGCUAACGUCCGUCGUGAAGAGGGAAACAACCCAGACCGCCAGCUAAGGUCCCAAAGUCAUGGUUAAGUGGGAAACGAUGUGGGAAGGCACAGACAGCCAGGAUGUUGGCUUAGAAGCAGCCAUCAUUUAAAGAAAGCGUAAUAGCUCACUGGUCGAGUCGGCCUGCGCGGAAGAUGUAACGGGGCUAAACCAUGCACCGAAGCUGCGGCAGCGACGCUUAUGCGUUGUUGGGUAGGGGAGCGUUCUGUAAGCCGUUGAAGGUGUGCUGUGAGGCAUGCUGGAGGUAUCAGAAGUGCGAAUGCUGACAUAAGUAACGAUAAAGCGGGUGAAAAGCCCGCUCGCCGGAAGACCAAGGGUUCCUGUCCAACGUUAAUCGGGGCAGGGUGAGUCGACCCCUAAGGCGAGGCCGAAAGGCGUAGUCGAUGGGAAACAGGUUAAUAUUCCUGUACUUGGUGUUACUGCGAAGGGGGGACGGAGAAGGCUAUGUCAGCCGGGCGACGGUUGUCCCGGUUUAAGCAUGUAGGCGGAGGUUCCAGGUAAAUCCGGUACCUUAUUAACGCUGAGGUGUGAUGACGAGGCACUACGGUGCUGAAGUGAUAAAUGCCCUGCUUCCAGGAAAAGCCUCUAAGCAUCAGGUAACACGAAAUCGUACCCCAAACCGACACAGGUGGUCAGGUAGAGAAUACCAAGGCGCUUGAGAGAACUCGGGUGAAGGAACUAGGCAAAAUGGUGCCGUAACUUCGGGAGAAGGCACGCUGAUGUGUAGGUGAAGUCCCUGCGGACGGAGCUGAAAUCAGUCGAAGAUACCAGCUGGCUGCAACUGUUUAUUAAAAACACAGCACUGUGCAAACACGAAAGUGGACGUAUACGGUGUGACGCCUGCCCGGUGCCGGAAGGUUAAUUGAUGGGGUUAGCGGCAACGCGAAGCUCUUGAUCGAAGCCCCGGUAAACGGCGGCCGUAACUAUAACGGUCCUAAGGUAGCGAAAUUCCUUGUCGGGUAAGUUCCGACCUGCACGAAUGGCGUAAUGAUGGCCAGGCUGUCUCCACCCGAGACUCAGUGAAAUUGAACUCGCUGUGAAGAUGCAGUGUACCCGCGGCAAGACGGAAAGACCCCGUGAACCUUUACUAUAGCUUGACACUGAACACUGGUCCUUGAUGUGUAGGAUAGGUGGGAGGCUUUGAAGCGUGGACGCCAGUCUGCGUGGAGCCAACCUUGAAAUACCACCCUUUAAUGGCUGGUGUUCUAACGUGGACCCGUAAUCCGGGUUGCGGACAGUGUCUGGUGGGUAGUUUGACUGGGGCGGUCUCCUCCCAAAGAGUAACGGAGGAGCACGAAGGUUGGCUAAUCCUGGUCGGACAUCAGGAGGUUAGUGCAAUGGCAUAAGCCAGCUUGACUGCGAGCGUGACGGCGCGAGCAGGUGCGAAAGCAGGUCAUAGUGAUCCGGUGGUUCUGAAUGGAAGGGCCAUCGCUCAACGGAUAAAAGGUACUCCGGGGAUAACAGGCUGAUACCGCCCAAGAGUUCAUAUCGACGGCGGUGUUUGGCACCUCGAUGUCGGCUCAUCACAUCCUGGGGCUGAAGUAGGUCCCAAGGGUAUGGCUGUUCGCCAUUUAAAGUGGUACGCGAGCUGGGUUUAGAACGUCGUGAGACAGUUCGGUCCCUAUCUGCCGUGGGCGCUGGAGAAUUGAGGGGGGCUGCUCCUAGUACGAGAGGACCGGAGUGGACGCAUCACUGGUGUUCGGGUUGUCAUGCCAAUGGCACUGCCCGGUAGCUAAAUGCGGAAGAGAUAAGUGCUGAAAGCAUCUAAGCACGAAACUUGCCCCGAGAUGAGUUCUCCCUGAGACUUUAAGUCUCCUGAAGGAACGUUGAAGACGACGACGUUGAUAGGUCGGGUGUGUAAGCGCAGCGAUGCGUUGAGCUAACCGAUACUAAUGAACCGUGAGGCUUAACCUU